RNAcentral lists this ribosomal RNA (477 nucleotides) under uncultured bacterium. Its description in RNAcentral is "partial 16S ribosomal RNA". It matches the Rfam family "Bacterial small subunit ribosomal RNA", at positions 28 to 507 of the family's 1533-position model. The record is from RNAcentral.
GAUCAACGCUGGCGGCGUGCAUAACACAUGCAAGUCGAACGAUGACGAUUAAAAGAUUUCUUCGGAAUGAACUUAAUUGGAUUAGUGGCGGACGGGUGAGUAACGCGUGAGUAACCUGCCUUGUACAAGGGGAUAGCCGAUGGAAACGACGAAUAAUACCCUAUGACAUCAAAUAAUCGCAUGAUAAUUUGAUCAAAGAUUUAUCGGUAUAAGAUGGACUCGCGUCUCAUUAGCUAGUUGGUAGAGUAAAAGCCUACCAAGGCAACGAUCAGUAACCGGCAUAAGAGAGUUCACGGGCACAUUAAGACUGAGACACGGCCCAGAAUCCUACGGGAGGCAGCUAUGGGGGAAGUUGGCCAAUGGGGGAAGCCCUGAUGCAGCGACGCCGCGUGAUUUAGAAGGCCUUCGGGUUGUAAAAAUCUUUUGUAUGGGAAGAAAAUGACAGUACCAUACGAAUAAGGACCGGCUAAUUACGUG